UGGGGAAUAUUGCACAAUGGGCGCAAGCCUGAUGCAGCCAUGCCGCGUGUAUGAAGAAGGCCUUCGGGUUGUAAAGUACUUUCAGCGGGGAGGAAGGGAGUAAAGUUAAUACCUUUGCUCAUUGACGUUACCCGCAGAAGAAGCACCGGCUAACUCCGUGCCAGCAGCCGCGGUAAUACGGAGGGUGCAAGCGUUAAUCGGAAUUACUGGGCGUAAAGCGCACGCAGGCGGUUUGUUAAGUCAGAUGUGAAAUCCUCGGGCUCAACCUGGGAACUGCAUCGAUGACUGGCAAGCUAGAGUCUCGUAGAGGGAGGUAGAAUUCCAGGUGUAGCGGUGAAAUGCGUGGAGAUCUGGAGGAAUACCGGUGGCGAAGGCGGCCCCCUGGACGAAGAAUAACGCUCAGGUGCGAAAGCGUGGGGAGCAAACCGG
This 429-nucleotide ribosomal RNA is filed under the name Chloroflexota bacterium. Its description in RNAcentral is "Chloroflexi bacterium partial 16S ribosomal RNA". It matches the Rfam family "Bacterial small subunit ribosomal RNA", at positions 355 to 776 of the family's 1533-position model. The record is from RNAcentral. Lineage: Bacteria; Bacillati; Chloroflexota.